Molecule: long non-coding RNA, 4073 nt
Organism: Triticum aestivum (bread wheat)
Lineage: Eukaryota; Viridiplantae; Streptophyta; Magnoliopsida; Poales; Poaceae
Exons: 5
Source: RefSeq, a predicted model, not a curated record
UCGAGUGACGCCAUAUGCCCUAUCCCUAACCCGCUCUCGUCUCCCUCGGACGCAGCCGGCCGCCGAAUCGAAUCCCGCCCGCGGGCUCAUCUGCCUCGCCAUGGCCGAUGAACGCGUCGGCUGCGGCCGUGUCCCUCUCCCAACGGCGGCGUUGAUGGAGGGAGCAGCUGGCGGUGGCCAAGCUGCCGAUCGAUGGACGCGCCGGGCGUCACUCCUCGGGUCCAGCCCCUCCCGCUCCCUGCAUCUCUCCCUGUCUCCUCCACGAGCUGCACGGAAGUACGUACAUGCAUCCUUGUGAGGAAGAUUGAUCGGGAUGGAGAAAUCAGGCGACGCGGAACCACACCAAGCUCCAAUACUAUCGCCUCGUGUGUUGCCUGCUCCACCUCCUUACGGAUAUGCUGCUUCUUAUCAUGUCCCAGCCGCUGGUGCGACCAAUCCAAGUGUUCAUCCAUUCUGGUCUAUUUCUUUGGAUAAUUUAUGGAGGCCGUGGUUCUGGUAUUUGUAUGUAUUCGCAAAUUGUUCACAAGGCCUGGAGGAAAUAAUAGGGAGGAUUGGAGAUGCACUGGGCAUGCCAUGGCAACGAAACAAAAGCUUAUUACUUCAAUUCAAUUAUGCAAGCUGAAGGUGAUUGCUUUAAUCCAAUGUUGCAAGCAAUCUGAAGCCAACAAGCUGAGUUUCUUGCCAAAGUGGCGGCGGUUAGAGAUCAAUAAUACAUGUGGUGUAAAGUUUAAAUUAUUUAAGUAAGAUUUGAUUUUCCCCACACAAAAAAGGAAGACUUGACUUGAUGCCUCGAUAUGCUACCCUGUUAAGCCCAACAUUGACCAGAUGCCAUCGACCGUGGCUUCUCCACAUAUCCGGAUUGUGCUCAUCCGCCCCGCCGUUCCCCAUCCCUUGUAUCGCUGGCGUUAGUGUGGCCCGAUUGCCGGCGUUCGGCUAGGCAAGUGCCAUUGUUCAUGCGGUUGGUGUCAUUAUUCACUACAGGAAUCGAUACCCUGGCAUAUUAUUUUGCUUAGUUGCACAUUGUGUUUGCGUAUUUGUCUUAUCCCUCUCACGUUGAUGUUUCAUACCAUGGUAGUUGUUUAUUGUUGUAAUAUUACGACAUUGAUAGGAUAAGAAAAAGUGUCUGCUUGUUAAGAAAGUUCAGAGACAAAUUACGCAUUGUUGGGCCCAAAUUAUGUCAUGGUUUAUAUGCAUGCCAUCAAUUCUUCAUGUAGCUCACUACCUGAUUCAGUCUUGAGAAUAACAAUUGUAGAUAGUCUCAUUGAAAAUGACUUCUGUAUGUCUUGCAUAUAGAGUCGUACAUUGAAAAUGUCCUCUUUAGGUCCAGCUUCUCCACAUUAUGUGUUGUGUCAUGCGAGGUAAGUAGAUACUACCUACUACAGACAAAUUCCAUUUGCAUUAGGAGGGGAGUGGAGAAGCCGGAGGGGAUGAGGUGCCAUCGGCAUGGGUGCUUGACGGUGUGCCGUAGACCAGGCGGAGGAUCUCCUGGUGGAGCUUGGCAGAAGGGAGGCGCUUGGAGGAGACGCCAUGGAGCCUGUGCCUGCUGCUGGUGGGACUCCGUGCGGACGUGUGUUGGGAGGAGCUGUGCAUGACACCCAAACAUGGCACCAAGGCCUUCCAUGUCCGCACCGAGGUAAGCAAUGACUUGUUUCACUGCCAACCCGCUACAAGUGUACAAGGCCUUCCGCAUUCAAGCUGAGAGGGCAAGAAAAUUCAAUUGUUAACAGGAACAUAAAAGUGGCUCAUCUUCUUUGAUAGAAUCAUAGAAGUACACAAUGAUUGGCUGAAGCGUUGGACUGCUAAAGUUCUAGGAAAGAUAGAAAUCCACCUUUUUGCGUAUUUAUUUUGCUGUUGUUGGAGAUGAGCUUACGAGUAGAAAGAUUAAAGAUCUGGUAACUGUCCUUAAUGCUUCAGCUGGACGUUUUUUAUCUCCGCUUUUGGGGCUGCCUUUAUGUCAGUCAUGGAGGGAGCUGGAGCAAAUUUGUGAUUUCUUGUGGCCACUUUUCUCUGAAAAGUGCAGGUUGCCUGGUGAUCUAAAAUUGUGGAUCGGAAAUGUUCUUCACCAAUGCCCAUCCCAGUUGCUGACAAUUUUGUUUGCACGCUCAGGUAAGUGUUUUUUUGUGGUGAUUUACUAAACAUGCUUUGGGUCAUGACCCCCUUUGACGUAGACGUAUGUCUCCUCUACACAUUAUUGUCAGGUUGCGAAAUAGCAAGUAAGGAACUACAGAAAGUGGAUUGCUAAGUUUGCCAAGCAUAUUGAUCAAUGUAUCUAUGUCUAAAUUUAUUAUUUCGUGGCAGCGCAAGGAAAUUUCUCCUUUGUGUCCUCUGAAAUCUUGCGUAAAUUUGUUGUGACUCAUCAUUGAAAGCAGUUAGAGAUGAUCUAGAAAUACUAAAAUAAAUUAAACCAAAGGUGUGCCCUGAAACUUGUGCAUUAUUUUUUUAAUCUUUUUGAUUGAUUUCUUUGGGAAGUUAGUCAAACUUUGUGAGUGUGGAAGGAAGGGGGCAACUGUUUCGGACACUUAUUAAACGUCUUAGAGCUCAUUUCAUCAUCUUUGUUUUUCUAACACUUAAUAAUGAGCUCACAGAUGAUAGAAGCAGAAAAAAAAUACUUGGCCAAAUAUCAUUUAACCAGAUAUUGUACAUUGUAGAAUCAGUAGUCUAUCUCACUUCAUUCUUGUUAGAACCUGCAUAAGAUUUUGUAUGUGAUGCUUUUGUUUAUUCAAUCAAGUGAAAUAAGGGCUACAACAAGAGAUCACCAUUAGGUUAUCAUGAACCAGCAAAAUGGGUAUAAGAAGCUAUAUUCAAGAAAAGAUAUUUUGCUCAUUCUUUAUCCAGAGCAAAUAUAAAGUCGCAUACGAACAUCCGAAACUAAGAAGUCAACAAAUAGAUCAGUAUAUUCCAUGUUAAGUGUACAACUCACAAAUAGACAUUUCCAGUGAGAAAAUAUUAACUAUUUCUAAAAUGUCGUGACAAGUUGUUGUUUUUUUGUAGAAUUUUAUGCUCUUGCUGUUAUCUUAGCCUCACAGGAUUGUAAAUUUUGAUGGAAUAUAGUAAGAUUUUCUUAUAAUCACGAGUUCUUUUAUAAUUGGAUGAGAAGAUACCAUCUAGCGCAUCAAUUAAGAAUUACCCAUAUUAAUACCUCGAACAGGGAUGCAUGUAUUUGAUCUUUCCUGCUGAGAUUCAGUGUUUCCUAUCGGAGGUCUGAAUUUGCAUAUGUGGGGCCUCUCAGUUAGAUUGUAAGUAUACUAACCAUUCUGUAACUGAGGUUGUGCCAUAUAUCUAGAACUGUAGAAUAUCUUCCACAUAUGUUCAUUCAGGGACCUUAGAAAUUCACUAUUGAGGGUUCAUUGCCAAGAAGGCAACUCAUCUCUUCGGCAUUGAAUUUAUUUGGAGUGUUGCAAUUAUCGCAAUGCUCAGUGACAACUACCAGGGUCAUGAAGAAGGUAAGUCAUCUCCCAUGCAUCAAAUUUAAUUGGAAUUGUGCAGCUUCAGAUUUGCAGUAAUUAUGAUUAAGCACUCUAUCUAUAUAGUUCAAAACUUAGCUAUGUAUAUCGCAAGGGUAACCAAUUAAGUUGGUAAACUUUCAUGUAUUUUGCAGUCCUAGCUCAACAAUGGCUCCAUGAGCUCUAACAGGUGUGGUGGGCUGCCAACGACCUACACAUAGUAUUGCUUAAAUCGGCUGCAAUCACUAGAUUCUCGUCACUAACUAUGUGAACUUGUAGAAAGUGGUCACGUUGGGAAAGGAGUAAACGGAAUGCUACUAAAAUAGUGGGCCUUUGGGCAACACCUAAAGCAUUGCAAUAAGCUUCUGAUAAGAAUUUCAUAUAAGAAUAGGUGCUUGUAAAUAUGUUGAAUUGUUCAUGGUGGAGUUGUUGUACAGUCUCCCAACAGCCAUGAUUUACAAGGCUCAAGGGACUAUAUAAAGGCCAAACACUUGGAAUUCAAACAAGCUAGGUUCAAAAUGGUAACUUUGAGUUAUUAUUUAUGUUGUUUGGCUGGCUUAUUUGAUGCCGAAGUUGUAUGAGGAUACGUGUGUUUUAAAAUUUUGCUAUUGGAUUUCACUUUUUUCUUUA